AGAGGGACCCAGAGUGUUGCCAGGGGUGAGCUGCAGGUGCUGUGGGCAUGUGUAAUGAAGCCUCACACUGGAAGGGACAAGAUAAAGGAAGCAAGAGCCAUAGAUAAACAUCUCCCUUGCAGCUGCAGUGGGUUGUGCGAUCCAACCUCACACUGUGUAUCCUUCCAUUUUCAUCGUAGUUCUGGAGUUUGCGCUCUGAAAUCUCAUGAUUGAUUUCAAGUUUGAAUUCACGGAAAGGUUUCUCCAGUCCUUUCUCAUAGAAAAGCUGAAUGUAUCCACUGUCAGUCAGCUUCACGUAUAUUGGUCCCCAGUGCCUGGAUGACAUAAUAUUCUUCUUUUCUGGGAUUCUGAGCAUCAUUGGCCAUCCAUCCUUUGGCUGAGAUGGUGCCAGGUUAAAUAAAGUGGCAUCUGGAUCAUAUGGCAUUGUGGGGUCAUCAUCAGGCAAGGUAGGGCUGCUCACAUAAUCUGGGUCGCCAAUCUGGAGUUGCUUCAGCUGCUCCACAGCAUCUGCAUGAGUUACACUUUUGUGUGCCUCUUGGAAACUGAUGGUAUCAGGUUCAUGAUGAAGAAUAAUGAGGGAGUCUCUUUGGCUUUUGCCUAAAACAGUGGAGACAGAAGAGCUUUUGGAACGCCUGUCUCGCUCCUCAAAGAAUGAGCUGAAUGGAUU
Molecule: long non-coding RNA, 667 nt
Filed under: Gallus gallus (chicken)
Lineage: Eukaryota; Metazoa; Chordata; Aves; Galliformes; Phasianidae
Description: long non-coding RNA NONGGAT007756
Source: RNAcentral